RNAcentral lists this ribosomal RNA (465 nucleotides) under uncultured bacterium. RNAcentral describes it as "partial 16S ribosomal RNA". It matches the Rfam family "Bacterial small subunit ribosomal RNA", at positions 28 to 507 of the family's 1533-position model. The record is from RNAcentral.
GACGAACGCUGGCGGCGUGCUUAACACAUGCAAGUCGAACGGAAAGGCCCUGCUUUCAGGGUACUCGAGUGGCGAACGGGUGAGUAACACGUGGGUGAUCUGCCCUGCACUUCGGGAUAAGCCUGGGAAACUGGGUCGAAUACCGGAUAGGAGCCAUUUUGAGUGUGAUGGUUGGAAAGUUUUUUCGGUGUGGGGUGAGCUCGCGGCCUAUCUGCUUGCUGGUUGGGGAAUGGCCUACCAAGGCGGCGACGGGUAGCCGGCCUGAGGGGGUGGACGGCCACCUUGGGGCUGAGAUAAGGCCCAGACUCCUAAGGGAGGCAGCAGGGGGGAAUAUUGCACCAUGGGCGCAAGCCUGAUGCAGCGACGCCGCGUGGGGGAUGACGGGCUUCGGGUUGUAAACUCCUUUCGCUAGGGACGAAGCUUUUUGUGACGGUACCUAGAUAAGAAGCACCGGCUAACUACGUG